AUUGAACGCUGGCGGCAUGCCUUACACAUGCAAGUCGAACGGUAACAGGUCUUCGGAUGCUGACGAGUGGCGAACGGGUGAGUAAUAUAUCGGAACGUGCCCAGUAGUGGGGGAUAGCCCGGCGAAAGCCGGAUUAAUACCGCAUACGACCUGAGGGAGAAAGGGGGGGAUUCGCAAGAACCUCUCGCUAUUGGAGCGGCCGAUAUCAGAUUAGGUAGUUGGUGGGGUAAAGGCCUACCAAGCCUGCGAUCUGUAGUUGGUCUGAGAGGACGACCAGCCACACUGGGACUGAGACUCGGCCCAGACUCCUACGGGAGGCAGCAGUGGGGAAUUUUGGACAAUGGGCGCAAGCCUGAUCCAGCAAUGCCGCGUGCAGGAAGAAGGCCUUCGGGUUGUAAACUGCUUUUGUCAGGGAAGAAAUCCUCUGGGUUAAUACCUCGGGGGGAUGACGGUACCUGAAGAAUAAGCACCGGCUAACUACGUGCCAGCCGCCGCCGUAA
Molecule: ribosomal RNA, 500 nt
Filed under: uncultured bacterium
Lineage: Bacteria
Description: partial 16S ribosomal RNA
Rfam family: Bacterial small subunit ribosomal RNA
Source: RNAcentral